RNAcentral lists this ribosomal RNA (1203 nucleotides) under uncultured bacterium. RNAcentral's name for it is "partial 16S ribosomal RNA". It matches the Rfam family "Bacterial small subunit ribosomal RNA", at positions 8 to 1250 of the family's 1533-position model. The record is from RNAcentral.
GAGAGUUUGAUUAUGGCUCAGGAUGAACGCUGGCGGCGUGCCUAACACAUGCAAGUCGAGCGAGAAAUGAAGAGAAGAAACUUCGGUAGAUUUUCAUCAUGGAAAGCGGCGGACGGGUGAGUAACGCGUAGGCAACCUGCCCCGUACAGGGGGAUAGCCAUCGGAAACGAUGAUUAAGACCCCAUAAAGCGGAAUAUACACAUGUAAAAACCGUCAAAGAUUUAUCGGUAUGGGAUGGGCCUGCGUCUGAUUAGAUAGUUGGUAGGGUAACGGCCUACCAAGUCAACGAUCAGUAGCCGACCUGAGAGGGUGAACGGCCACAUUGGAACUGAGACACGGUCCAAACUCCUACGGGAGGCAGCAGUGGGGAAUAUUGCACAAUGGAGGGAACUCUGAUGCAGCAACGCCGCGUGAAGGAAGAAGGUCUUCGGAUCGUAAACUUCUGUCCAAAAGGAAGAAGGAAGUGACGGUACUUUUGGAGGAAGCCCCGGCUAACUACGUGCCAGCAGCCGCGGUAAUACGUAGGGGGCAAGCGUUAUCCGGAAUUAUUGGGCGUAAAGAGUGCGUAGGUGGUCACUUAAGCGCAGGGUUUAAGGCAAUGGCUCAACCAUUGUAUGCCCUGCGAACUGGGCGACUUGAGUGCAGGAGAGGAAAGUGGAAUUCCUAGUGUAGCGGUGAAAUGCGUAGAUAUUAGGAGGAACACCGGUGGCGAAGGCGACUUUCUGGACUGAAACUGACACUGACGCACGAAAGCGUGGGGAGCAAACAGGAUUAGAUACCCUGGUAGUCCACGCCGUAAACGAUGAGCACCAUGUGUCGGGGUCGCAAGACCUCGGUGCCGCAGUUAACGCAUUAAGUGCUCCGCCUGGGGAGUACGUUCGCAAGAAUAAAACUCAAAGGAAUUGACGGGGACCCGCACAAGCAGCGGAGCAUGUGGUUAAUUCGAAGCAACGCGAAGAACCUUACCAGGCUUGACAUCUUCUGCCGUACCCGCAAAUGGUAUUUCUACGGACAGAAGAGACAGUGUGCAUGAUGUCGUCAGCUCGUGUCUGAGAUGUGGGUAGUCCGCACGAGGCACCUGCUUUAGUUGCAUCAUUAGUAGGCUCUGAAGGACUUGCGGACAACUUCGAGAGGUGGAUGACUCAUUCUCAUGCCUAUGUUCUGGCAUACACAUGUGUCUCACUAAUAUGCGCGGUUACUAUC